CACGGGGGGAGCAAGCGUUGUUCGGAAUCACUGGGCGUAAAGGGCGCGUAGGCGGUUCGUUAAGUCCUGUGUGAAAUCCCCCGGCUCAACUGGGGAACUGCUCAGGAAACUAGCGGGCUUGAGUUCGGGAGAGGGAAGCGGAAUUCCGGGUGUAGCGGUGAAAUGCGUAGAUAUCCGGAGGAACACCGGUGGCGAAGGCGGCUUCCUGGACCGACACUGACGCUGAGGCGCGAAAGCUAGGGGAGCAAACGGG
RNAcentral lists this ribosomal RNA (253 nucleotides) under uncultured bacterium. Its description in RNAcentral is "partial 16S ribosomal RNA". It matches the Rfam family "Bacterial small subunit ribosomal RNA", at positions 524 to 776 of the family's 1533-position model. The record is from RNAcentral.